UACAGAGGUCUCAAGCGUUGUUCGGAUUCAUUGGGCGUAAAGCGUGCGCAGGCGGUUCGCCAAGUCAGGUGUGAAAUCCCCGGGCUUAACCUGGGAAUUGCGCUUGAAACUAGCGGGCUGGAGUGUGGCAGAGGGGGGUGGAAUUCCACGUGUAGCAGUGAAAUGCGUAGAGAUGUGGAGGAACACCGAUGGCGAAGGCAGCCCCCUGGGCUAACACUGACGCUCACGCACGAAAGCGUGGGGAGCAAACAGG
Molecule: ribosomal RNA, 253 nt
Filed under: uncultured bacterium
Lineage: Bacteria
Description: partial 16S ribosomal RNA
Rfam family: Bacterial small subunit ribosomal RNA
Source: RNAcentral